GUGGUUUAAUUCGAAGAUACACGAAGAACCUUACCUGGCCUUGACAUGGUAGGAACCUUAAGAGAUUAGGGGUGCUAGCUUGCUAGAACCUACACACAGGUGCUGCACGGCUGUCGUCAGCUCGUGUCGUGAGAUGUUGGGUUAAGUCCCGCAACGAGCGCAACCCUCGUCCUUAGUUGCUAACAGUUCGGCUGAGCACUCUAGGGAGACUGCCUUCGCAAGGAGGAGGAAGGUGAGGACGACGUCAAGUCAUCAUGGCCCUUACGGCCAGGGCUACACACGUGCUACAAUGGGGCGUACAGAGAGCUGCGAUACCGCGAGGUGGAGCCAAUCUCUUAAAGCGUCUCUCAGUUCGGAUUGUUCUCUGCAACUCGAGAACAUGAAGCUGGAAUCACUAGUAAUCGCAGAUCAGCUAUGCUGCGGUGAAUACGUUCCCGGGUCUU
RNAcentral lists this ribosomal RNA (443 nucleotides) under uncultured Sulfuricurvum sp. RNAcentral describes it as "bacterial SSU rRNA". It matches the Rfam family "Bacterial small subunit ribosomal RNA", at positions 941 to 1382 of the family's 1533-position model. Lineage: Bacteria; Pseudomonadati; Campylobacterota; Epsilonproteobacteria; Campylobacterales; Sulfurimonadaceae. The record is from RNAcentral.